GGCCGGUAGCUCAGUGGUGGAGCAUUUGCCUAGCAUGCAUGAGGUGCUGGGCUCCAUCCCCAGCACCA
This 68-nucleotide transfer RNA is filed under the name Marmota monax (woodchuck). RNAcentral's name for it is "tRNA.Ala". Lineage: Eukaryota; Metazoa; Chordata; Mammalia; Rodentia; Sciuridae. The record is from RNAcentral.